This 1417-nucleotide ribosomal RNA is filed under the name Salmonella enterica subsp. enterica serovar Heidelberg. RNAcentral's name for it is "bacterial SSU rRNA". It matches the Rfam family "Bacterial small subunit ribosomal RNA". Lineage: Bacteria; Pseudomonadati; Pseudomonadota; Gammaproteobacteria; Enterobacterales; Enterobacteriaceae. The record is from RNAcentral.
GAGUAAUGUCUGGGAAACUGCCUGAUGGAGGGGGAUAACUACUGGAAACGGUGGCUAAUACCGCAUAACGUCGCAAGACCAAAGAGGGGGACCUUCGGGCCUCUUGCCAUCAGAUGUGCCCAGAUGGGAUUAGCUUGUUGGUGAGGUAACGGCUCACCAAGGCGACGAUCCCUAGCUGGUCUGAGAGGAUGACCAGCCACACUGGAACUGAGACACGGUCCAGACUCCUACGGGAGGCAGCAGUGGGGAAUAUUGCACAAUGGGCGCAAGCCUGAUGCAGCCAUGCCGCGUGUAUGAAGAAGGCCUUCGGGUUGUAAAGUACUUUCAGCGGGGAGGAAGGUGUUGUGGUUAAUAACCACAGCAAUUGACGUUACCCGCAGAAGAAGCACCGGCUAACUCCGUGCCAGCAGCCGCGGUAAUACGGAGGGUGCAAGCGUUAAUCGGAAUUACUGGGCGUAAAGCGCACGCAGGCGGUCUGUCAAGUCGGAUGUGAAAUCCCCGGGCUCAACCUGGGAACUGCAUUCGAAACUGGCAGGCUUGAGUCUUGUAGAGGGGGGUAGAAUUCCAGGUGUAGCGGUGAAAUGCGUAGAGAUCUGGAGGAAUACCGGUGGCGAAGGCGGCCCCCUGGACAAAGACUGACGCUCAGGUGCGAAAGCGUGGGGAGCAAACAGGAUUAGAUACCCUGGUAGUCCACGCCGUAAACGAUGUCUACUUGGAGGUUGUGCCCUUGAGGCGUGGCUUCCGGAGCUAACGCGUUAAGUAGACCGCCUGGGGAGUACGGCCGCAAGGUUAAAACUCAAAUGAAUUGACGGGGGCCCGCACAAGCGGUGGAGCAUGUGGUUUAAUUCGAUGCAACGCGAAGAACCUUACCUGGUCUUGACAUCCACGGAAGUUUUCAGAGAUGAGAAUGUGCCUUCGGGAACCGUGAGACAGGUGCUGCAUGGCUGUCGUCAGCUCGUGUUGUGAAAUGUUGGGUUAAGUCCCGCAACGAGCGCAACCCUUAUCCUUUGUUGCCAGCGGUUAGGCCGGGAACUCAAAGGAGACUGCCAGUGAUAAACUGGAGGAAGGUGGGGAUGACGUCAAGUCAUCAUGGCCCUUACGACCAGGGCUACACACGUGCUACAAUGGCGCAUACAAAGAGAAGCGACCUCGCGAGAGCAAGCGGACCUCAUAAAGUGCGUCGUAGUCCGGAUUGGAGUCUGCAACUCGACUCCAUGAAGUCGGAAUCGCUAGUAAUCGUGGAUCAGAAUGCCACGGUGAAUACGUUCCCGGGCCUUGUACACACCGCCCGUCACACCAUGGGAGUGGGUUGCAAAAGAAGUAGGUAGCUUAACCUUCGGGAGGGCGCUUACCACUUUGUGAUUCAUGACUGGGGUGAAGUCGUAACAAGGUAACCGUAGGGGAACCUGCGGUUGGA